This is a small nucleolar RNA of Capsella rubella, 66 nucleotides long. It matches the Rfam family "Small nucleolar RNA U49". The record is from Rfam. Lineage: Eukaryota; Viridiplantae; Streptophyta; Magnoliopsida; Brassicales; Brassicaceae.
CUCCGAUGAAGAAGCAAUCCCAUAAGAUAGGAAGUGCCGUAUGACACUUUACACAACAGCGUGACU